CCCUUAGAUGUUCUGGGCCGCACGCGUGCUACACUGAGUCAAUCAAUGGGUAAGGGAACACGAAAGUGCAACCUAAUCUUGAAAUUUGCUCGUGAUGGGGAUCGACGGUUGCAAUUUUCCGUCGUGAACGAGGAAUACCUUGUAGGCGCGUGUCAUCAUCACGCGCCGAAUACGUCCCUGCCCUUUGUACACACCGCCCGUCGCUCCUACCGAUUGAAUGCUCAGGUGAGCCAUUCGGACUUUCAUCAUGCUGGUUUCCAGUUUUGAUGAAGGAAAGUCUUGCGAACCUUAUCAUUUAGAGGAAGGAGAAGUCGUAACA
Molecule: ribosomal RNA, 319 nt
Filed under: uncultured eukaryote
Lineage: Eukaryota
Description: partial 18S ribosomal RNA
Rfam family: Eukaryotic small subunit ribosomal RNA
Source: RNAcentral